GACGAACGCUGGCGGCGUGCCUAAUACAUGCAAGUCGAGCGAGUCUGCCUUGAAGAUCGGAGUGCUUGCACUCUGUGAAACAAGAUACAGGCUAGCGGCGGACGGGUGAGUAACACGUGGGUAACCUGCCCAAGAGAUCGGGAUAACACCUGGAAACAGAUUCUAAUACCGGAUAACAACAGAUGAUGCCUAUCAACUGUUUAAAAGAUGGUUCUGCUAUCACUCUUGGAUGGACCUGCGGUGCAUUAGCUAGUUGGUAGGGUAACGGCCUACCAAGGCGAUGAUGCAUAGCCGAGGUGAGAGCGUGAUCGGCCACAUUGGGACUGAGACACGGCCCAAACUCCUACGGGAGGCAGCAGUAGGGAAUCUUCCACAAUGGACGGAAGUCUGAUGGAGCAACGCCGCGUGAGUGAAGAAGGGUUUCGGCUCGUAAAGCUCUGUUGUUGGUGAAGAAGGACAGGGGUAGUAACUGACCUUUGUUUGACGGUAAUCAAUUAGAAAGUCACGGCUAACUACGUG
This 519-nucleotide ribosomal RNA is filed under the name uncultured bacterium. Its description in RNAcentral is "partial 16S ribosomal RNA". It matches the Rfam family "Bacterial small subunit ribosomal RNA", at positions 28 to 507 of the family's 1533-position model. The record is from RNAcentral.